UGCCUGCGCUUUUCUGGACUGUAGGGCGGUCCAGGAACAAGGGCUGGGCAAGACCGGUGCCAGCCGCCGCGGUAAUACCGGCAGCCCAAGUGAUGGCCGCUGUUAUUGGGCCUAAAGCGUCCGUAGCUGGCCGCACAAGUCCGUCGGGAAAUCCGCCCGCUCAACGGGCGGCCGUCCGGCGGAACCUGUGUGGCUUGGGACCGGGAGGCCUGAGGGGUACGAUCGGGGUAGGAGUGAAAUCCUGUAAUCCCGCUCGGACCGCCGAUGGGGAAACCACCUCAGGAGAACGGAUCCGACAGUGAGGGACGAAAGCCAGGGUCUCGAACCGGAUUAGAUACCCGGGUAGUCCUGGCCGUAAACGAUGCUUGUUAGGUGUGACUCCCACUACGAGUGGGUGUUGUGCCGUAGGGAAGCCGCUAAACAAGCC
This 427-nucleotide ribosomal RNA is filed under the name uncultured archaeon. Its description in RNAcentral is "bacterial SSU rRNA". It matches the Rfam family "Archaeal small subunit ribosomal RNA", at positions 399 to 825 of the family's 1478-position model. The record is from RNAcentral.